AAACAUAUGCCGGAUCUACUUAACUUGUCAUUUGGACUACAAUUCCCAGCAACCCAUUCGCCUACAUCUAUAAUUUUAUGUAUUCUUAAGAAAACUACGCAAUUAAGAAGCUCUCCUUGUGCUGAAUAUAGUUUAGUUUUCAGGGCACGCAGUUUUUAGCCGAGUGGAAGGAAGAAAAAGAACAGUCUUGUCUUCUAUUAUUUGGAGCGUGUUUGUCCUGGAAGCCUGAGAUAAGAAUGGGAGCUGGUGAAAGCGCGAGCAGAAAAGUGUCUUUCGGUCUCGAUGAGAAUGACCGGGUCCAGGUGCUUCGUGGAGUUAAGCUUUCAGAUGAUGUUCUCCGGAGAAUGCGAGAGUCUACCCGUGGGGUCGAUUUCAGACCUCCCUCUCCAGAAAGCUCUAAGGCAGAGCCUGGGCCACCCCCAGCUGCUGCAGGAUCAGGGCCUGGUCCUGCUGCAGCUGAGACACAGGAGGAACUGCAGAGAAGGUUUCAGCGUGAACAGUCCAUCAUGCAAGAGGAGCUGGUGCGUGUGGCAUGGCGAGAGAGGGAGGCUGCGCGGAAGGAGCUGAGCAAGGCCUUGCUUCGGGAGAGGUCUCUGACCCGUGGGGAGGCAGAGAUGGCCCAAAGCCUGGCCAAGCAGCUAGAGAAGAAGGAGGCUGAGCUGAAGCUCCUGGAUGCCUUCUACAAGGAGCAGCUGGCACAACUGGCAAAGAAGAGCCUGGAUCACUACAAGACGACCAACCAGCAGUUCCAAGAAGCUGCAGUCAGUGCAGAGACUCGCAUAAAACCUCGCAGAACAGAGCCCGUCUGCACCGGCCUGCAGGACCAGAUCCUCCACUGCUACCGUGAGAACCAGGGCCAGACCCUGGGCUGCUCGGGCCUGGCCAAGGAGUACAUGCAGUGUGUCAACGCCAUCAAGAAGGCUUACGUCUGCACGUUGUGGACAUCAGACAGCCUGUGAGCGCAGCUGCCACCGACAGCGGACGGCAACCAGCCAGUCAUCAGAUAAGACAUGCCUGAGCUGCUGGUGACUCGUGGGUGAAGAGGAGCAUGCCAACCACACCCUACGCAGUCCAGCCACGUUAUCUCUCUGCUGGAGCAGUUUGGUACCUCUGAGGCUGCCCUUGCCUCUGCCUGAGAAGGACACCUCACUGUCAAGAGUGCCUUUAUUUCUGCUGCUUUUUAACCUUGCUGUCUUCAGUUCUUUUUAAAGUAGCAUCACAAUUGAGAUUCUUCCCCGUAAAACAAAUCACUCCAAAGCCAAAGAGAGAGAAUGAAAAGUGAAUGAAAGGUUUUAUUGUCAUUUGAGACCUGAUUUUAAUAAUUGACUCAGGAAUGUCUCACCAGUGUAUCAGACUCAUUAAACCACGACCUCAUGUGGACUAAGUUCUUUGAUGGAAGUGUGGGCUGUGUGAUUCUCUGCUGUUAAUCGAUGUGGGAGAAGAUUUCACAAACUGUCAUUUUCCCAGUCAGGACUCCAGCAUCCACAGUCUGUGAACCAUUGUUUCUGAAGUCAGGGUCGGGGGGACUUUCAGAGGGCGUACAUUUAGAGGACGGAAGGCAAUGUAGGGUGUAAACAGAACAUGAAAAAUGUCACAUCAGUUUGCAUCUUACUUAAGGGCGUGCAGAUUGGCGAUUGACUCGGAUAAAUGGCUGCAGUAAUCGAGAAAAGCAAACAACCUCAGUCAUGUCCUUCCUCUAAAAUGUUUCUCACCUCUUUAGCUCCAAGCUGGUCAGUCAUGCAUACUGCCACAACACCAAAAUCCAUGGAUAUUAAUGGCGUAGAUUUGGGUAUAGAGACAUGUCCUUAACAAUAUUGUGGGAGUAUUGUGUGUUUAGCGCUCACAAAUACCCUGGGGUCGAAUUGACCCCAAAGGCACAUGUCAGGUGACUUCUCAUUGUAACAAAUUGUAGGCGCGUGUAAGAGUUAGGAGAGCUAGGGAUGCAGGGCUGUUUUGGUCCCUACCAUUGUUGAAACAAAAAAAACGCCCUUGAUGCAUAUGCUCACAAACUAACACUUAGGCUACGUUCACACUGCCAUGCUGAAGUGACUCAAAUCAGAUUUUUUGCCUUAAUGUGACACAGAUCUGAUCUUUUCAGGUCUGUAUGGACAGGCAAAUAUGAUCUUUUCAAAUCAGAUUUGUGUCACUUUCAUAUGUGGUUCUAAAUCGGAUACGUAUCUGAUUCGCGGCCAUGUGACCUGCAUGUGAACGCUCAGAUCGCAAUUCGUGUGGCUUUUUGCUUACACGCAUGUGCUGACAUCAUCAGCCUGCACCGGCAGGCUCGUACCCACACAUCUCUGGGUGCAGCACUUCCAGCAAUAACUGCAAAAACAGAAAAAGCUAGCCGCCUGACUUUUUUUCUCCUUUUCGACCUGCUCAUGUACACUGAUUCACGUCCUCCAGAGCAAAGUGCGAUACAUGCGUGCGCUACUAACACCUCCAUUUUUAAUGCCAUGAGUCGUCCCAUAGACAUUACACUUUUUGUUGUUGGUGACGCAGUUGACCACUGUAAAAACGUAUCAAUGUGCGCAUUCGUGACGUUUUGGAGGACUGAUGCGUUCACAUUGCAGUCAGAUACAGGUCACUUGUAGUUAUGAAUGUGAACCGUCAAGAUUUCCGAUCUGAGCAAAAAAUCGGAAUUAAACAAUGUGGCUGGCAGUGUGAACGUAGCCAUACUGACAAGCAGUAUUGGGAAGGUUACUUUUGAAAUGUAAUAGAUUAUAGAUUACUAGUUACCCUGUUGAAAGUGUAAUAAGUACUGUAACUAUCUUGAUUACUUCAUCAAAGUUAUGUUACUUAUUAGAUUUGAUUACUUUUUGAUUAUUUUUCAAAGAAACAUUUUAAACUGGGCAAUAAAGCUGAAAAGUCCCAA
RNA transcript from Brienomyrus brachyistius, 2872 nucleotides. It is a transcript of the gene named MICOS complex subunit mic25a-like, with no coding region annotated. NCBI's taxonomy places the organism in Eukaryota, Metazoa, Chordata, Actinopteri, Osteoglossiformes, Mormyridae. The record is from RefSeq and is a predicted model, not a curated record. The transcript is spliced from 9 exons.